GAUUAACGCUGGCGGCGUGCAUAACACAUGCAAGUCGAACGAUGAAACUUAACUGAUUUCUUCGGAAUGAUUUUAAGUGGGUUAGUGGCGGACGGGUGAGUAACGCGUGAGUAACCUGCCUUGGAGAAGGGGAUAGCCUUUGGAAACGAAGAAUAAUACCCUAUGAUAUGAUAAUAUCUCAUGAUAUUAUCAUCAAAGAUUUAUCGCUCUAAGAUGGACUUGCGUCUGAUUAGUUAGUUGGUGAGGUAACAGCUCACCAAGGCAGCGAUCAGUAGCCGGCUUGAGAGAGUGUACGGCCACAUUGGGACUGAGACACGGCCCAGACUCCUACGGGAGGCAGCAGUGGGGAAUUUUGCACAAUGGGGGAAACCCUGAUGCAGCGACGCCGCGUGAUUUAGAAGGCCUUCGGGUUGUAAAAAUCUUUUGUAUGGGAAGAAAAUGACAGUACCAUACGAAUAAGGACCGGCUAAUUACGUG
Molecule: ribosomal RNA, 477 nt
Filed under: uncultured bacterium
Lineage: Bacteria
Description: partial 16S ribosomal RNA
Rfam family: Bacterial small subunit ribosomal RNA
Source: RNAcentral